AGAGCUGGAGCUGGUAAAGAGGAAGCGAGGUUGGGAGAAGAAAGCGAAAUACAGGCAGAACGGAGAACUGAACAUUCUACUCCGGAGAAACCCGAACCGAGUGAGCCCUUUGGUAGUGCUUAUCAACAAUGGCUUCGUAGCUUGUUGGGCGAUUUGGUUCUUGUGUGUUCAGUGGGCUGCAUUUGGUCAUUGCCCCUGUUUUUUCCCUGUUCUUUCUUAGUUUCUGCUGUCGUUUGUUAUUCUCUUCUGCUGCUGCUUUCCUCCCUUUACUUCAGCGCAACAUUGAUAUCACAGAAAAACAAGAAAAAACUUCUCUUCGUUGCAACAUUGUUAUUCUCUGCUUCUGAUUUCUUCCAUAUAUUGCGUCU
This is a long non-coding RNA of Neltuma alba, 368 nucleotides long. RefSeq lists it as uncharacterized. NCBI's taxonomy places the organism in Eukaryota, Viridiplantae, Streptophyta, Magnoliopsida, Fabales, Fabaceae. The transcript has 2 exons. The record is from RefSeq and is a predicted model, not a curated record.